Molecule: unclassified non-coding RNA, 1040 nt
Filed under: uncultured Bordetella sp.
Lineage: Bacteria; Pseudomonadati; Pseudomonadota; Betaproteobacteria; Burkholderiales; Alcaligenaceae
Description: partial 16S-23S ribosomal RNA intergenic spacer
Rfam family: Bacterial small subunit ribosomal RNA
Source: RNAcentral
GGUUCGAUUCGGCUCAGAUUGAACGCUGGCGGGAUGCUUUACACAUGCAAGUCGAACGGCAGCACGGACUUCGGUCUGGUGGCAGAUGGCGAACGGUGAAAUGUAUCGGAACGUGCCCUGUGUGGGGGAUAACUACGCGAAGCGUAGCUAAUACCGCAUACGCCCUUCGGGGAAAAGCGGGGACCUUCCGGGCAUCGCACUGUGGAAGCGGCCGAUAUCGGAUUAGCUAGUUGGUGGGGUAACGGCUCUGCCAAGGCGACGAUCCGUAGCUGGUUUGAAGGACGACCAGCCACACUGGGACUGGGGCACGGCCCAGACUCCUACAGGAGGCAGCAGUGGGGAAUUUUGGACAAUGGGGAAACCCUGAUCCAGCCAUCCCGCGUGUGCGAUGAAGGCCUUCGGGUUGUAAAGCACUUUUGGCAGGAAAGAAACGGCACGGGAUAAUACCCGUGCAACUGACUGAUACCUGCAGAAUAAGCACCGGCUAACUACGUGCCAGCAGCCGCGGUAAUACGUAGGUGCAGCGUUAAUCGGAAUUACAGGCGUAAAGCGUGCGCAGGCGGUUCGGAAAGAAGAUGUGAAAUCCCAGAGCUUAACUGGAACUGCAUUUUUUUUAACUACCGAGCUAGGAGUGUGUCAGAGGUGGAAUUCCGCGUGUAGCAGUGAAAUGCGUAGAUAUGCGGGAGAAUUUACCGAUGGCGAGGCAGCCUCCUGGGAUAACACUGACGCUCAUGCACGAAAAGCGUGGGGAGCAAGCAGGAUUAGAUACUGGUAGUCCACGCCCUAAACGAUGUCAACUAGCUGUUGGGGCCUUCGGGCCUUGGUAGCGCAAUAACGCGUGAAGUUGACCGCCUGGGAGAGUACGGUCGCAAGAUUAAAACUCAAGAUUGACGGGGACCCGCACAAGCGGUGGACGAUGUGGAUUAAUUCGAUGCAACGCGAAAAGAAACCUUACCUACCCUUGACAUGUCUGGAAUCCCGAAGAGAUUUGGGAGUGCUCGCAAGAGAACCGGAACACAGGUGCUGCAUGGCUGUCGUCA